RNAcentral lists this ribosomal RNA (360 nucleotides) under Triticum aestivum (bread wheat). RNAcentral describes it as "partial small subunit ribosomal RNA". The record is from RNAcentral. Lineage: Eukaryota; Viridiplantae; Streptophyta; Magnoliopsida; Poales; Poaceae.
AUGAAGGAGGAGAUUGGAAGGUCCUGCGGCUGCGGGGACAGAUUUUGGGGCAAGUUCGAUCUUCCCGUGGGAGACCGGACCCACAAAACAUGGCUGCGUGAGAUUAAUCAUUCGCACGUCGAUCGAUCGAUCGCCCUACCCAGGGCCAGGGGAGGGAUCCGCCGCCGCCAUCUAGGUCUCCACCAUAGCUCCCGCCGCCGUCCCCCGGCCGGCCCCAACACCUUCUCUUCCUCCGCUAGCGCUAGGUACCAAUCGACGCAGCUGGGAGGUGGCCUCUCUAGCUGUCCAGGCCCGGCCGUCCCUGCUUUGCAUGUGUACGUUUGUGAUUUCUUCCACCUUGAUUGCAGGGUACGUGCGUGA